CCGACCUUAGCUCAGUUGGUAGAGCGGAGGACUGUAGUGUGACCCACAGCUUAUCCUUAGGUCGCUGGUUCGAAUCCGGCAGGUCGGA
RNAcentral lists this transfer RNA (88 nucleotides) under Eucalyptus grandis. It matches the Rfam family "tRNA". From Rfam's summary of the family: Transfer RNA (tRNA) molecules are approximately 80 nucleotides in length. Their secondary structure includes four short double-helical elements and three loops (D, anti-codon, and T loops). The record is from Rfam by way of RNAcentral. Lineage: Eukaryota; Viridiplantae; Streptophyta; Magnoliopsida; Myrtales; Myrtaceae.